Molecule: ribosomal RNA, 301 nt
Filed under: uncultured bacterium
Lineage: Bacteria
Description: partial 16S ribosomal RNA
Rfam family: Bacterial small subunit ribosomal RNA
Source: RNAcentral
CAGUAGCCGCGGUAAUACGAAGGGUGCAAGCGUUAAUCGGAAUUACUGGGCGUAAAGCGCGCGUAGGUGGUUUGGUAAGAUGGAUGUGAAAUCCCCGGGCUCAACCUGGGAACUGCAUCCAUAACUGCCUGACUAGAGUACGGUAGAGGGUGGUGGAAUUUCCUGUGUAGCGGUGAAAUGCGUAGAUAUAGGAAGGAACACCAGUGGCGAAGGCGACCACCUGGACUGAUACUGACACUGAGGUGCGAAAGCGUGGGGAGCAAACAGGAUUAGAUACCCCCGUAGUCCCUGUCUCUUAUAU